GCCAGACUCCUACGGGAGGCAGCAGUGGGGUAUCUUCCGCAAUGGGCGAAAGCCUGACGGAGCAACGCCGCGUGAUCGAAUGAAGGCCUUCGGGUUGUAAAGAUCUGUUGACAGGGACGAAUAAGCAAUGCGAAUAGUUUUGUGUAUGACGGUACCUGUUUAGAAAGCUCCGGCUAACUACGUGCCAGCAGCCGCGGUAAUACAUAGGGAGCAAGCGUUGUCCGGAAUUACUGGGCGUAAAGGGCGCGUAGGUGGGCGCUUAAGUCAGGUGUGAAAACUCCGGGCUCAACCUGGAGACUGCACUUGAAACUGGGUGUCUUGAGGGCAGGAGAGGAAAGUGGAAUUCCUAGUGUAGCGGUGAAAUGCGUAGAUAUUAGGAGGAAUACUCAUUGCGAAGGCGACCUGCUAGAACAUAACUGACGCUGAUGCGCGAAAGCGUGGGGAGCAAACAGGAUUAGAUACCCCUGUA
This 469-nucleotide ribosomal RNA is filed under the name uncultured bacterium. RNAcentral's name for it is "partial 16S ribosomal RNA". It matches the Rfam family "Bacterial small subunit ribosomal RNA", at positions 330 to 792 of the family's 1533-position model. The record is from RNAcentral.